Carassius auratus (goldfish) is the source of this 2005-nucleotide long non-coding RNA. RefSeq lists it as uncharacterized. The transcript has 3 exons. NCBI's taxonomy places the organism in Eukaryota, Metazoa, Chordata, Actinopteri, Cypriniformes, Cyprinidae. The record is from RefSeq and is a predicted model, not a curated record.
GACAGUUUCGCGCAUAGUAUCCAAAGACCUUUCAGACUCUGUAAAUGUGGCCUCUCGGUCACUUCCCUGAUAUGUCUCCUUCGUGUCCCGUUGCCCAAUUUCCAGGGGAUUUUAAGAUCAUAAGAUUGUCAGACUCCAGGAUGCUGCAGUGUCCUCUGGAGUAAUUUGGAAGGUGAAGGCAGAAAUUUCAAGUAAAGUGAGGACACGAAAAUACAGGGAAAGACUCAAUGCUGACUAUGCAAGGAGAGAGGAGGUCCUAAAGGAAAGGAGGAAAAAGUAAGGAGAUCAUGUUCACACAGGACAGACAUCUUCUAUAGGGAAGGAUGGCAAGUCUAGGCAACAGCCUGCAUAGUGUAACUUCAACACAAUACAAAAGAAACAGAGAAAAAGAAAAUAAGAAGUGAAUGCCAUUAUGAACCUGACCCCUCCAUCUAUUGAAGCAUCACUGAAUGCACAGCACACCAGAGCCUUCUGUCAAGUCUACCCAUUCUUCUCCUGAAUGCCCCACUUAGAAUCUACAGGUGUCUGAAGAAUCCAUACCAAGCAAAUUGAUAGUUCAAAAUGAUAGUCUGAGGAAACAACUUAAAGUUAAAAGGCUAAAUCAGGCACAAAGAAGUACACCCCAAAGCAGAAAGAUGCAGGACCGGCACUAAUAGUUGAAUAGUGAGAAGUUCCACUUCCGAGCAGCUAAAAAAAUGUCCCAUGAGAGAAAAAAAGAGGGUUACGGCUUUUUUGAAAUUGGAUGAGAACAGCAUUGUGCUUCCUGGAAAAAGGAUACAAUUGAAGAAACAUAAGAAACAAAGAAGGAUCCUUACAAGCACACUUCACAAAGUCUUCAGUGGUAAGAGUGAUACAUUGCACAGAAUGUCUUACAUGCAGUUCACCAGAAACAAACCAUUCUACAUCCCCUAAACCAAAAUCAUGUGAUUGUAACAACUGGGCAUGCCAUCAACAUGAAAACAUGAGACUUCUGAAUGCAACUCUUUCAAAAAGAUGAGGCUUCAGUGCACAGAAUACUGUUUUGAGGAGGUUAAGUUCAGAGGGCAUAAUCCUGCCGAGAGGCAGGGGUGUAAAUUUCAUCUAACGGGGAGGAUAAACAACAUUUCUCAAGAGCAAUUUUGGAAGGGGACACAAAUAAUCCAGCAAAAAUUGUACUUGUAAGGAUAUGUAUACACAGAGGAUAGCCGUACUACUAUUAGUGCAGCAGUUGGCGGCUGUCUUGACCGCAGUGCCACACUGGACAACUUCAAGCUGUUGUGGUCACAUGGAGACAGCGCUCUGUGUCUUUUAGACAUUACUAUCCAUCACAGUGUUGCACACUUCAUCACUGUUGCCGCAUGAUGUUUUUCAUGUCAUUUUCAUUACAUUUUCAAUGUUAUUUUAGCACCUGGAACGCAGUUUUUACCCGGGGCCCCCUCGAAACGCGGUUAGUUUGGGCUAGUUUUGUUAUGAACACCUGAUGCAAGGCAACCCUUUCCAUCAAGCGAGUAACGUUAUUAUUACUAACAUAGCGCACUCAUCAAAAAAUCAAUGGCAUCAUGUAUUAAAGAGAAAAUAAUUACUUCCAUUCCAAUUUUUAAGUGAAUAAAACAGCUAUUGACAGCCUUUCUUACUGGAGUUCCUCAACUAUUGACAUCUCUGAAUCACACUCUCUGAGACAUGAUGACUGAUAAAUGUGUUGAAGAAGAUGAAAUCUCUACCAUGGAUAGCUUGCUUCUUUCAACAGUAUGCCCAGUGGUUGGAAUAAAGUAACAUCCUUUUCACCUGGGGAAAUACAUACCGAUUCCAAAAAAGUUGUACAAAAUUAUACAAUGUACAAAUUGUGAAUAAAAAAAAAAUGCAAUGAUGUGGAAGUUUCAAAUUUCAAUAUGUUAUUCAGAAUACGACAUUGUUGACAUAUCAGAUGUUUAAACUGAGAAAAUGUAUAAUUUAAAGGAAAAAAUAAGUUGAUUUUAAAUUUCAUGGCAUCAACACUUCUCAAAAAAGUUUUUACCACUGUGUGGCA